Molecule: ribosomal RNA, 440 nt
Filed under: uncultured bacterium
Lineage: Bacteria
Description: partial 16S ribosomal RNA
Rfam family: Bacterial small subunit ribosomal RNA
Source: RNAcentral
CCUACGGGUGGCAGCAGUGGGGAAUAUUGCACAAUGGGGGGAACCCUGAUGCAGCGACGCCGCGUGGGUGAAGAAGCGCCUCGGCGCGUAAAGCCCUGUCAGCAGGGAAGAAAAUGACGGUACCUGAAGAAGAAGCCCCGGCGAACUACGUGCCACCAGCCGCGGUAAUACGUAGGGGGCAAGCGGUAUCCGGAUUUACUGGGUGUAAAGGGGGCGCAGACGGCGAUGCAAGCCAGGAGUGAAAGCCGGGGGCGCAACCCCGGGACUGCUUGUGAAACUGCGUGGCUGGAGUGCAGGAGGGGCAGGUGGAAUUCCUGGUGUAGCGGUGAAAUGCGUAGAUAUCAGGAGGAACACCAGUGGCGAAGGCGGCUUGCUGGACUGCAACUGACGUUGAGGCCCGAAAGCGUGGGGAGCAAACAGGAGUAGAUACCCCAGUAGUC